Dama dama (fallow deer) is the source of this 6156-nucleotide long non-coding RNA. RefSeq lists it as uncharacterized. The record is from RefSeq and is a predicted model, not a curated record. NCBI's taxonomy places the organism in Eukaryota, Metazoa, Chordata, Mammalia, Artiodactyla, Cervidae. The transcript has 5 exons.
UCCUCCAUCCCCUGGCGUUUUGCAGUGUGAAGCUCACGCCGGUACAGACCUUCCUGGGGUCACAUUGAGAGGCGGGGAUACAGCCCCGAUGCUGCAAGCCUCUGAGAAUGUGCAGAUGGUUUGAAGACUGUGCCGAGAAGAUGCACCUCUCCUAAGUCCUGCUCGCGCCCGAAGUGGCACAAGCGCCUGUGCGCGGGGUGGGGUGUCGGGGCCUCCUGGGGGAACUGCUCCCACCUGGGUCCUGGGCGGGCUGGGCCCGGACGCCCCUUUCCCUGGCCCCACCUGUGCCCUGGAGCGUAGCUGGGCCCCGCUGGCGCUUUCUGGAGAACCGAGGAAUACCCCAGGUGGAGGAGCGGGGGAGAAGCGGGCAUUGGGAUCAGCGUUCGUUUUAAAUGGAAAAAAAAAAAAGAAAAAGAAAAAAUCCUGGGGAGAUUCCCGCAGGAAUCUUUCUCCCGCCCUGGAGAAAGAAUUAGUAGUAGGUUUGCGCGCGUCAAGGGGUUGGAUGAGCUACUUUCCCAGUGUACCUAAAUAGAGGAGCCUCUUCCCUCCCCCUAACUGGACAAAGUCUGAAGUGAUCUGUGCCUUAUCGAGCGCGGAGACGUGACAUUAACUUGAUCCCCCCCAAAUCGGCAUCAGAAGGAAUCUCUACGAAGCUGCAUCACAAAAUGUGCUUUCUGCCCACUUGAGUGUUUAACAAGGGGAGUUCAUUUUCUGGUACAGGGGUUCUGAAGAGGAGAUGAGGCAGUUUUCUCAUUUUGGCAAUGGAGGAACGUUCGCCAUGUUUGGAUUUGCUUCACUUUUCCAACACAGACUUGGCCAAGCUAAUGGCCUGGAUUUGCUAGUGGAACUAGGUUUUUCCCAAAAGAGGUGACAGAAUAACUGACAAGAAUCUGCUGGGCUGUGGAAUCCAGUCCUGAGCUCCCUAGGGAAAUAGCAAACUCAUCUAUAACCAGAUCAACAGCAUUUUUUUUUUUUUUUUAAAGAAUCAAGCUAUUGAUUGAGCUGUUUUCUGAAAGUAAACCAUGAAAGCCCUCCUGGAGGCUGCCCAACCAUCUGUGAACUUGAACCUGAGAAAUGGACUUUUUUUUCAUCAGGGUGAUCUCCUUCAGCUGAAUCAUCAGAAGUGGUGAGAAGACCCCUACCCAACCAAACUGCUUCAGACAAGUUCAAUCCGUCUGUCAAGGAAUGGAGCUGUACAGUGUGGCCAGAUCACCAUUUGCUUGCACCACUACUGAGCUAUCUCUCUAGGACUGCCACCUACAUAUUAAGUGGCUGGAAGGAGCCUUUCUGUGAAAACGACAUUUCAGCUGGGACCCGAGGAUGAAUUGGAAGGAGUGUGUGAAGUGAGUCCUCCUUGCCAUUUAAAGUACAGGAAAAAGAAUGAAACAUUGCCAUCUGCAGCAGCUUGAAUGGAUCUAGAGAUUAUCAUACUAAGUGAAGGGUACCUGUCUUGGGAGAACCAAAGGAUUGGUUGCAGGAUUUUUUUUUUUAAAUGUUAUUUAUUUAUUUAUUGUUGGCUGUGCUGGGUCUUUGUUGCUGCAUAUGGAUUUUCUCUAGUUGCAGAGAGUGGGGGCAACUCUCAAGUUGCAGUGUGUGGGCCUCUCAUUGCCAUGGCUUCUCUCAUUCCAGAGCAUGGGCUCAAGGACGUGCAGGCUUCAGUAGUUGGAGACAUGGGCUUCAUUGCCCUGCAGCAUGUGGAAUCUUCCCAGACCAGGAAUCAAGCCUGUAUCUCCUGCAUUGGCAGGUGAAUUCUUAACCACUGGACCACCAGAGAAGUCCACAUUUAAUUCUUUAUUCACACUACUGACCAAUCCCUUUUCCUGACACCCUUUCCCUGUCUUUUCUUGUUUCAGGUAUUCCAGCCUCAACUGCUUUUUCCCUUAUUUAUCUGGAUAUUACUCCUGAGUCUUCACUUUCUCUUUCUGUCUCUUUACAUGGUUUUAUACUCUAGAUUAUAUCCUUGAGCCUCUUCUCUGCUUACUAUACCUAUUGAACAUUUGCAUGUGAAUAUUCACCUUUAUCUCAGUAUACUCCAAACUAAACUUGCCUUCUUCACUUCUGUAUCUCUUCCACCCACCUGUACCUCCUGCCUUGAUAAACAGAACUUCCCUAAACUCACAUUUAGAUCUAGAAGCUUCAUUAGAAUCUUUGUAAGAAUGAUCCACAGAUGGCUCUUAAGUUGCCAUAUUGGGGGACAUACAAUAUGUGGUUGUUUCUCUUUUUGUAACGAUAAGAUUUUUCAGUGGCUUAGUGUGUUAUAAUACAAAUUAUCCAUUAACAAACCCCUAUAACCUCUCAUGUAGUGGUUUUGACAGUCAGUGAGUUAUUGACAGUCAUUGCCUAGGUCCAGUAUUAGGGACUUACAUUUCUUACCAGCUUUACUGCAGCAACUUCUUAAGGUUUCCACGCCUUUAAUUUUUUUCCCUUAACUUGACCCUUCUAUAUGCACUACCACUAAAUAGAUUUUUGUGUACCCCAAAUCAUUUUAUAUGAUUUCCCUGCUUAAAAUUCUUUAGUGGAUUCUUAGUGAAUUCAGAAUACAAUCCAAAUUUUAGAGCAAAGAUAUACAAGAACAUUUAUCAUCUGGUCCCUGCUUUACCUAACUGUCACUUACUUUCUAUUUUGGCUCAGUUGGUAAAGAAUUCACCUGCAAAGGAGGAGACCCUGGUUCAAUUCCUGGGUUGGGAAGAUCUGCUGGAGAAGUGAUAGGCUACCCACUCCAGUACUCUUGGGCUUCCCUUUUGGCUCAGCUGGUGAAGAAUCCACUUGCAAUGCAGGAGACUUGGGUUCGGUCCUUGAGUUGGGAAGAUCGGCUGGAGAAGGGAAAGGCUACCCACUCCAGUAUUCUGGCCUAGUAUUCCAUGGACUGUGUAGUCCAUAGGGUUGCAAAGAGUCAGACAUGACUGAGUGACUUUCACUUUCACUUUAUAAGUGCUUGAACCUUUCUAAAAUAGAAUUCAUCUUGAGAUAGACAAAGUUAUAAGAUGUUGGUUUAAUACUUAUGGGAAAUGAGGGAUGAGCUGCUGAUACAGAGGCAGAUGGCAGGAUUAUUUUCAUAGCAAUAACACCUAAGCUUUUAAGAAACAGAACAUCUUAACAUUUCACAAUAUAUGUAAAUCAAAUCAUUACACUGUAUACCUUAAACUUACACAGUGCUGUCUGUCAAUUAUAUCUCAAUAAAACUGGCAGACUAUUUAUAAAUAAAGAAAAAUCCCCGUGUCUUUGACCACAUCAACAAUGGCAAUGUGGUAUCUCAAGGCCAUCCCCAGGAGUAUUGACUUUAGGGCAAGAAACCCAGGGAAGGAAUACAGGAUAAGGGGGCAGUGACUUUUGGAAGACAGCAAAGUUACAUUUUUUCCCCUAGCUUUAUUGAAGUAGAAAUUAACAAAAAUUCUGUAGAUAUUAAGGUGUGACGUGAUAGUUUCAUGUAUAUAUUAAUAUAUAUGCACUGUGAAGUAAUUGCUACAAUGAAGUUAACACAUUCAUCUCCUCACAUUGUUACCUUUUUGUGGCCUUUUUUUUUGGUAUGGUGAAAAAAGUUACAUUUUAAAAUGUAUUGUUUAUAAAUUUGCCAAACAAGUAUAUUGUUUGCCUUGGUUGUGUUGCCAUUUCAAGCUUCCUUCCCAUAAUAUUUUUCUUCAAAUUAUUAUGUAUAUGUAAAUAGCUAUGAUUUAAUUCAUUAACUCAUAUGAAAUUGAAUUAUAAUUUUAUAAUUUUUUAUUUUCAUCUAUAUGUUUUAUUUAGGUUCAUGUUUAAUAAAAAUCUACCAAGAAUAUAUAUUGUAACAUCUUAAUAAGCAUACUCAUCAUAAUAAAUUUACUGACAUCUUAAGUGAAACAUUUUGCUUUUUAAAGAAAAGAAAUAUCUAUACAACUUUUUAAAUAAAGCAAUAUGGAAAGGCUAAUAAGAACACAAAGCCCUUCCACCCAUACUUCCUGUUUGAUUUCCUCUUUUCAGUCAACCUUUUGGGGUUUCAGUUCCCCUUAUGAUUAUAAUUACUUGGAAUUCUAUUCCAUUUAUGUUUGAUUUAUUCAUAAUUCAUUAUGAUUAUUUAGCUAAAUGUAAUUCAUUAUAAAAUAACUUUUAAAGACUAAAUUAUACCAUAUUCAUUAUACUUUACAUUUUUAUAUUUACUUAUUCAAUUCAACUGAAUCAAAUUUUAUUGCUAGAGAGAAAUUUCCUAAAUGCAGCAGCAUCAAUUUAGCUGGUGGCAUUUACAUGAGUUUCCAUACAGAUAGUUGGUCUUUACUAAAUAUCUGCAACUGGUCCUUAAUCAUAUCUGAAUCAUAAAUGGAGUGAUGGAAUCAUGUCUGGAUCAGAUGGAUUCUAUCUCCAACAUUCACUGUGCCGGCCACAGUUGCAGGGGCUAUGACUAGCCCUGUCUCUUACAUCGAGCACAUUGAGGAUCCCCGACACUGAUUUGCAAUCUGCAUAAUGACUGGAGUCUGUGUCAGUGAGAGGGCUGAACUGAGGUGGACAUUCCCAGGGUGCCUGCCGCAGGAAUCACUCGUGUUCAUUUCUCAUGAUGCUGGGAGUUCUGUCCAAUGAAAUUGAAUCUCAUCAAUUCAAAUUUAUUCUUAAAAAAUAGCCUUGUUUAAUGGUGGUGACUUAAACUGUUAUUUUUAUAGUUCAUGCUAGGUUUUUUUUCAUUAGUAAAUGUCAAUUUCUUCUAGUACCUGAAUCAGCUGCCGUGGUGUAAUUUGCUGAUAUAAUUUCUUUCAAUGGAAUGGAAGGGUGAGCUAAUGGGACCAAAGGGUGUGCAGAAAUGGUGCUUAAUUAUAAAAUAAUGGAAAACAGUCUGCAUCAUGAAAUUACCUCAUAAACAGAGCGAUCACAACUGAGAUGAUUCAGUAAUUAAUGAUUACAUCAAAUAAAUUAACUCAUUUGUAUCUCAACUCUAUAUAAAUGAUGUGAGAAAGCAUAAUAAUACCUUAACUAUGUAAACAAUUAAUAAAAUAUGGAAGACAUUAUAAAUUCACAGAAUUGAAAGCCCACACAGCUAUAGAAUUAAUUACUUUUGUAUGCGUUAGGUGUUUUGGAAACUAAGAAUUAAUUUUCUGGCUUUGCCUCAAAUCAAGACCACCCUGUAGGAAAGUUUAAUUCCUCAGUGAGUACCUAUUUAUCAUUUAGCAGAAUGUUUGGCAACCAAGCCACCAAAACAACAUAUGCAAAUGGAUGUUUACUAAUGAUUGAAUGAAACCAUGCUCUAUUUCUGAAUGUUCUUAAUUUGAGUAAUGUACAAAUACAAGGACUUAUUUAUUCAAAACAGGCUACCUUAAUCAAGAUGCAGAAUUAAUCUUCAAAGAUACUGAAUUGUUUACAAUUUUGGCAAUUUUACAAUCUGGCAAACAUUUCUUUGAAAAUGUGAGAGAUGAGAACAAUAUGAGUUUAGUUAGAUCAAACCUAAAUGUAUGAUUAUUUAAACAUUUUUAAAUAAACAUUUGAAACUUUAUCUUAUAAAUAAUUGUCCUGGAGGAAAUACUACAUUACAAAACUUUAUCAUGUAGUUUAAAAUGUGAAUUUUCAGUAGUCUUAUGGUCUGGAAGGGGACUGAUAUUUGUGAAAGAAUGUUCUGACAGACUCAAACGAAAACCGCGUUUACAAUUUAGGGCCAAAGAAAUCAUUACAUCUAAGGCAACAACAUGUCUGAUUUGAUAGAAUCUGAAAUAGUUAAAAAGUUAUUGUGUGGUGUGGUUUGAGACCACAAAUUCUGUGUUAUUCAAAAUUCCAUGAAUUGCAUGUAUCCUUUUAUUUUCAAAAUGGGUGGCUUACUUGUAAGGAAAUUCUUCAGUUCUUUAUUAGAAAUAUAUCUAAAUUUUAUGCCCUGCUCAAGGGCAUGAAAUUCUGCAAACAUUUUCAUUUAUUAAUAGUUGUAAACACCUGGGCAUUUAUAGACAUUACAGAUAUUUUUACAUGUAUAAAUUUAGAAUGUUGGAUAUAAGACAAAGAUUUCUAAUUUUAAAAUCUAUUUGUAUUUCAUAAGACUUUAGUUUCCAAAAGAGUUUUGAUGUUUUGGUUUGUUUACCUUAAAUAAAAUAUGAUUUUUCUAUUUAAAAUAUCUGAAAAUAUACUCUCAAAUAUCAACUAGUUCUUGAAAUAGAUCUGGGUAGUUACCAGUGUAAAUGAACUCCAGUGUCAGGAUUCCAUAUCCUUUAA